UCCCGAGAGACCGAUAGUGAACCAGUACUGUGAAGGAAAGGUGAAAAGCACUUCGAACAGAAGAGUGAAAUAGUACCUGAAACCGUGCGCCUACAAGCGGUUGGAGCUCCUUAAGGAGUGACAGCGUGCCUUUUGCAUAAUGAACCUACGAGUUACCGUGUCCGGCAAGGUUAAGGGUCAUGAGACCCGGAUCCGAAGCGAAAGCGAGUCUGAAGAGGGCGUCAAGUCGGAUGCGGUAGACGCGAAACCAAGUGAUCUACCCUUGGCCAGGAUGAAGUCUGGGUAACACCAGAUGGA
This 297-nucleotide ribosomal RNA is filed under the name Bacteroides caecigallinarum. RNAcentral's name for it is "partial 23S ribosomal RNA". It matches the Rfam family "Bacterial large subunit ribosomal RNA", at positions 474 to 770 of the family's 2925-position model. Lineage: Bacteria; Pseudomonadati; Bacteroidota; Bacteroidia; Bacteroidales; Bacteroidaceae. The record is from RNAcentral.